CAAAUGACUCUCGGCAAUGGAUAUCUCGGCUCUUGCAUCGAUGAAGAACGUAGUGAAAUGCGAUACUUGGUGUGAAUUGCAGAAUCUCGUGAACCAUUGAGUCUUUGAACGCAAGUUGUGCCCGAGGCCUUGUGGUCGAGGGCACGCCUGCUUGGGUGUCAUGGCAUCGUCGCC
This 174-nucleotide ribosomal RNA is filed under the name Boesenbergia pulchella. RNAcentral's name for it is "5.8S ribosomal RNA". The stretch from base 6 to 161 matches the Rfam family "5.8S ribosomal RNA". Rfam says of the family: 5.8S ribosomal RNA (5.8S rRNA) is a component of the large subunit of the eukaryotic ribosome. It is transcribed by RNA polymerase I as part of the 45S precursor that also contains 18S and 28S rRNA. Lineage: Eukaryota; Viridiplantae; Streptophyta; Magnoliopsida; Zingiberales; Zingiberaceae. The record is from RNAcentral.